This 656-nucleotide ribosomal RNA is filed under the name uncultured bacterium. RNAcentral's name for it is "bacterial SSU rRNA". It matches the Rfam family "Bacterial small subunit ribosomal RNA", at positions 43 to 695 of the family's 1533-position model. The record is from RNAcentral.
CGUGUUAGACUGCAGUCGCACGGAAUGAUUUAAGUAGUAAUACCUGAUGAUUUCAGUGGCGCACGGGUGAGUAACACGUGAAUUACAUGCCCUUCAGUGGGGAAUAGCCCAGGGAAACUUGGAUUAAUACCCCAUGGUAUCGCAAGAUUAAAGGUGGCCGCAAGGCUGUCGCUGAAGGAUUGGUUCGCGCCCUAUCAGCUUGUUGGUGAGGUAACGGCUCACCAAGGCUACGACGGGUACCUGGUCUGAGAGGACGAUCAGGCACACUGGAACUGAGACACGGUCCAGACACCUACGGGUGGCAGCAGUCGAGAAUAAUUCACAAUGGGGGCAACCCUGAUGGUGCAACGCCGCGUGGAGGAUGACGGUCUUAGGAUUGUAAACUCCUGUCAUCCGGGAGAAAGACCUGACGAUUAAUAGUCGGCAGGGUUGAUAGUACCGGAAGAGGAAGGGACGGCUAACUUCGUGCCAGCAGCCGCGGUAAUACGAAGGUCCCAAGCGUUGUUCGGAAUCACUGGGCGUAAAGGGAGCGUAGGCGGCGCGGUAAGUCGGAUGUGAAAUCCCGGGGCUCAACCCCGGAACUGCAUCUGAUACUGCCGUGCUAGAGUAAUGGAGGGGUAGCUGGAAUUCUCGGUGUAGCAGUGAAAUGCGUAGAU